CCACAAAAGCUCAUGAUACCAUCUACAUGUUCUGUUAGUCUUUAAGGUGCUACUAGACUAUUUGGGGGGCAGGUUAAGUUUUGGAAGAAUGGUGUUAUAUUUACUGCAAAGUAUAUAUUGAAAAAAAUAUUUGAACCUAUUUUCAAUAGACCCCAGACAGGUUCAUCUGUCAUUUAGAGUGCAAGCCCUGGUAGGCCUUAAAAUGUGAUCUACCAUCUGUCUGUAUGUGCACUCCAGAUAAUUCUUUGCUUUCCCUGGGCUCCACACUAUAAUGGCUUUACCGUUUAAAAAGAAUGGGUGUGUUUUAGCAUGCCCUGAAAAGGCUGUACAUAAUUCCCAAGUGCCUUUGUGAUCACCAACCCUACAAUAACAAACCAGCCCACUUCAUGUGUGGUCACGAGGUUACUGCCAGGAAAUCAGACAGAGUGAUGGGGAACACUUUCCCAGGUGGAUGGUCUGCACCUCAGGUUUAGUCCAGGAAUGUAGAAUGCACAAUUAUGAUGAAGACCUAAAUGAUUUUAACCUGUUCUGGCAUCUAAAGAGUGGAGUGAUAUCGCUUUGAUAUCACUCAAAACCAUUGAAAGUGAAAGUUGAAAACCAUUUUGGUCCUGAACUUUGGGUGAGUCAAAGAUGUUUUCAGUAAAGAAGAUAGUUCAACAUAUGAAAGACGGGAGAUUUGCUGGAAGAACACCUUUUUGCCAGGACCAUAAGAACACAAGAACGGCCACACUAGUUCAGACCAAUGGUCCAUCCAGCCCAGUAUCCUGUCUGCUGACAGUGGCCAAUACCAGAUGCCCCACAAGGAGGGAACACAACAGGUGUUGCUUUCUAGGAACUCCACAGUCCUGUAUAGUGAUUGAAACCUCUUCAGGGACAAACCCCAUUCAUUUUAAGACAUACAUUAAGCCUGAAGACCAGAGAAGUGUUAGUAUCUGUGGCCAGGCCAGACUCUCACAAGAUGAGCUGAAUACGACAUUUUAGAUAUGAAUAUAUGAGGCCACUAUCUGCCUAUCAUCUCCAAAGAGAGCAAGGAAUGUGUAUGGGAAUCCUAUCAAAAGGUAUUUUCAGAGAAGCAGGUAAAUAAGAUACCUCAAAGAUACUACAUCAACUGGAUUUUGAUUGUUGAAGGCUAAAACCUCAAGGAGAUAAUCCACAAACCCAUCGAUUCCCCAGUCAUGGAGGGAAACAAAGUUACUACAGAAAUUUGAAGUUUAACCUAAAAAAGACUUUACACAAAUGCAUUAUUAGGAUCUUAAAGAAAAAGCUAUAAGAGCCAUGGGUUGUGUUCUAUUCUCCAGGCCUGAGUGAUCCAUUCCCAGGCAUCCAAAGCCAGCCUGCAAAAUAUUAGGAGAUAUAAGAGACCGAGAGAGGCUCCACCAGAGAUUUGACAGAUCUAAGGACAACUUCAAAUCCGUACUUGGAAGAAUUUGCCUGUCUGCCCAGUCUAAAGAUUUCUCUUUGGAUACCAACAAUAAUGUCCUUAAUAAUAUAUUGUGAGUGUAUGUUAACUUUC
Pelodiscus sinensis (Chinese soft-shelled turtle) is the source of this 1513-nucleotide long non-coding RNA. RefSeq lists it as uncharacterized. The record is from RefSeq and is a predicted model, not a curated record. Lineage: Eukaryota; Metazoa; Chordata; Testudines; Trionychidae.